CCUACGGGUGGCAGCAGUGGGGGAUAUUGCACAAUGGGGGAAACCCUGAUGCAGCGACGCCGCGUGGGCGAAGAAGUAUUUCGGUAUGUAAAGCCCUAUCAGCAGGGAAGAAGAAAUGACGGUACCUGACUAAGAAGCCCCGGCUAACUACGUGCCAGCAGCCGCGGUAAUACGUAGGGGGCAAGCGUUAUCCGGAUUUACUGGGUGUAAAGGGGGCGCAGACGGCAGCGCAAGCCAGGAGUGAAAGCCCGGGGCCCAACCCCGGGACUGCUCUUGGAACUGCGCGGCUGGAGUGCAGGAGAGGCAGGCGGAAUUCCUGGUGUAGCGGUGAAAUGCGUAGAUAUCAGGAGGAACACCGGUGGCGAAGGCGGCCUGCUGGACUGCGACUGACGUUGAGGCCCGAAAGCGUGGGGAGCAAACAGGAUUAGAUACCCCAGUAGUC
RNAcentral lists this ribosomal RNA (442 nucleotides) under uncultured bacterium. Its description in RNAcentral is "partial 16S ribosomal RNA". It matches the Rfam family "Bacterial small subunit ribosomal RNA", at positions 338 to 795 of the family's 1533-position model. The record is from RNAcentral.